Mirounga angustirostris (Northern elephant seal) is the source of this 4558-nucleotide long non-coding RNA. RefSeq lists it as uncharacterized. Lineage: Eukaryota; Metazoa; Chordata; Mammalia; Carnivora; Phocidae. The transcript is spliced from 10 exons. The record is from RefSeq and is a predicted model, not a curated record.
GGGUGUCAUGGCCCUCAUGGGCCACCGUAGCCGACUGCUUGUUUGAGCUCAGGGCGCGCGACGCCGGCGGCGCCAUGUUGUCUCCGGCCAUUUCUGCCUCUCGCGCACCUGGUCCUGCCUCGCGGCUCCACCCAUCACCUCGAGGUGUGGGAGGAAGCUCUCGGCCUCGCUGCUGUCGCGGGACCGCUGCUUUUCGGGCACCAUUUCGGAGCAAACCCGCAAGUGUCUGUAGUGUUCUCUCGUGCACCUAGCGAUUUGCUCCUCAAAAGAGUCUCCGGAGAGAGAAGAGGCAAACAUCACUGCUCCACACCCAGCACACACUGGAGCCCAGUGUGAGGCUUAAACUCAUGACCCUGAGAUCAAGACCUGAGCUGAGAUCAAGCGUUGGACACUUAACCAGCUGAGCCACCAGGUGCCCCUAAUUGGAGAAUUUAAUCCAUUUACAUUUAAGCUGUAUACCCAAUAUGAGGCUUGAACUCACAACCCUGAGAUCAAGAGUCACAUGCUCUACUGACUGAGCCAGCCAGGCACCCCUAGUACAGGUUAUUCCCACCUAGAGAACGUUACUGGUAACCCUCAACAGCUGGAAUAGAAGUCAGGACCAUCAACUCAAAUUGAGGAGGUCCGGAUAUCUGAACUCACCCGAUAACACCUGUGAGGUGCUGAGAAGUCGGAGGGGCACAAAGGGCCCAUGCUGGCACUGAGCACCGAGCUCCAGAGGACCCCCAGGAGAUCUCAGAGGAAAUCGUUCCAUAUGGAGCUGUGGAUCUGGUGUGUCCAUGGGAGGAGAGAGCGACACAGCAAGGACGUUUUAUAUACUUUUUGGCACUUAUAGAUCUUCGAAGAAAUGUCAGUAUGGAGACUGGAUUAACACGUUCCCUUUGGAUCCUGAUGAACACGAGCAGUUGAGUAAUAGGACUUUCGGGAAGGUAUUCUUCGCUACUGCAGUAGUCCAGCAGCCCAAGGAGCUUGUGAUGAAGGUUGUGGUCUUCAGCAUCCUCGUGACAAAUUCAGUUUUUCCUGAGAGCCUUUCGUAAAAAAAUAGACCUCUGUACGCGUGUGACUGUCGCGGCAGGUGCGUCAGCUGGCCACGGUGCGCCGGUAUUCGGCGGUGCCGUCGGCUAUGACGGCGUCCAGGGGAGAGCGCUUCUUCCGGAUGCUGCGCCCGGAGGAGAUGAGGUCCGCGUAGCCGCGCUGGUGCGAGAAGGCGUAGGCCGAGCGCCGCGAAGACAUGCCCCGGCGGAACACGCGCUGCCGCCGCUUCCACUGCUCCUCGGCUUUCAACCGCUUGCGGUGCUUCUGAAUCUGCAGAACCGGAGAGAGGACCUCGCAGUUUGCAGAUAAGCUCCCAGAGGUAUGAAGAAGAGGAUCAUCGAUGUUAAAAUUCCAUGCACCAGGCUUACAAAGAACUUCUUAUAGUUGAAUAACAGGUGCCCAGUCCGUCCUGAAGUGUCCCGUCAGCCCGAGGCUCCUACCUGGUCAAGCAGCCCCAUGAGGAGCACGGGCAGGCUGGAGUACAGCACGUUGUAGAGCGUGAUGAACCAGUCUUCGUAUGCAGUCUGUGAGGAGAUUACAGAGUCGCCGUGUCACAAACCAAGACCUAUUGCCCGCCUAGUCAACAUGCAUUCAUCUCUCUCGGAGGGGGGAAGGCCCCAGGCUGUGUGCAGCUUCUGCCAGAGUAAACACCCCUCAUCUGCAUCUGCCCAAGAGUACCCAUUGAAGAAGGAGUACCAGAAAUGAACCAAAGUAAAUGCAAAGUUUUUAUAAAAGAAGUAUCGUAGGAACUUGCACAUCCUUAUGUAAGACCACCGGCCAUGUACCAGCAACAGUCUCUGCAAGUAUCUGAACUGGGCAAAGGAGUAGUCACUUGACAUGACAGCUUGCAUGCCUUCUUGUCCACUUAUUCCAACACCAAUGUGGGCAGCUGUCGGACAGAGGGAGAAGAUAUGUGAAUCGUAAGCUAAUUUUAAGGCGAAAUAUUUAAGUGAUAAAAAUGUUUCCACAGCAAAACAAAGAAACACAUUCAUGGAACAAUGUAUGUGAAAACUCUCUCUCACCAGCCCCACCCCAGCUUCUGAACUCAAUGUCAGAGAUACAAGUUGCUCAAAAGAGCACAUGCUGGGGCCUCCAAAAGGUAUUUGUGGAAGGAUCUCAGGUGGGUGGUGAAUUCCAUUUGGAUUAUCUGCCCGGCUGAUAGGCCAUCCUUCCCGCCCACGGGGUUAAUCCAAGGAGUCUAUGCAGACUGUGCGUUCCUGCCUCCCUGGCCACAGCUGAGUCAGCUGCUAUUGGCAGAUACUACAAAUUGGCCCUCCCAACUUUCAUUCCACCCUUGUUCUACUGGAAAGGUGGGAAAGCACAUAAAAACCUUACAUUGCUCAGACUCCCUUGCACUAGGUUCUGUUGGUGAAUUGGGUUUCAUUGUUAGGAGCCACUUGAAGUUUCCGGAAGUAGAAGCGAACUGGGGCCCAGCACCCCUUCCCUUUUUGGCAUUUCUUCAGCAGAGUUCGUAUGCUCUCCCCAGCUGCCUGGAUGCUGAUAGACAAAAGCUCAACUGAAAAGCCCUUCACAGGAGUCUCAAAGCUAGAAGCUCCUCUGGUGAGUGACUAAGAUGUUAGAGACUCAGGCUAGCACCUACUUUCUUCAGCCCAUCCAGAGCUUUCAUGAGCACCUAGUCCCCUGUAUUAAUCACUUCCUGCUUAAAGUACCCAACGGGGUCUGUAUCUUGUACUAACUGACUGAAAACCCAAGCUGGGGCAAUCAGUGUCUCUUUCACAUUUUGGAAUUAAGAUUCGGGCAUGUUUGUGUUUGGAAUUUUAACCUAUACAUUCUUGAGUUGUGGGACAGAUAUAUUUUUUUUCUCAGGGGUUCUGAGGGGCAGAGAAGUCAAGUCAUCUAGGAAGAGGGAGAAACCAGAAGCUGGGGUCCUGGUGCAGCUCCAGGUCCUGGUUCUAGCAUCUUCCUGAGGCGUGGCUUCUUGGGAGGCACAAAACAUCUUUUUUUUUUUUUUUUUUUUUUUUAAUUUGGGAGAGCAGGAGUGGAGGGGAGAGGCAGAGGGAGAAGCAGAUUCCCCGCUGAGCAGGGAGCCCAACAUGGGACUUGAUCCCAGAACCCUGGGAUCACAACCUGAGCUAAAGGCAGACACUUAACCAACUGAUCCCCCCAGGUGUCCCCAUCUUUAUAUCUUUUAAAAUAAAUUAUCUUUUUGUCUUAAGCUUGCUUUAGCUCUCUAAUAUUUGCAAUCAGAAGUAUUUUAACUAAGAUAAUAUUAAACUUUCAGCAUUUAACCAUGGCCCACCAUGACCUUAAGAGGCAGAAUUUUUUUGCCGGUGAAGGUUCCAGAAUGGAUAAAAAUGAAAAUCACAAUUUUAUCCGUCCUUCCAAUAGUCAUUUAGUCACAGUUUCAACUUCUAGAAUUACAAAUUUUAUCUAGGUCUUAAGAGGCAUGGAAGUAAAGACGUUCUGACAUCAGUUAGAGAACAUGUGCUGGAGAACACAACGUAUUAUUACUUAGACCCGGAGAAUGACUGCCAACUCAGCAGGGUUUCCAACUAAAAGAAGCUUCCAAAAUCCUGCCAUAGUGGCAGAAUACUAGGUCUGGCAAAUUCAAAGCGACAUAGUGACUUGGCCAAACCUAUGUUUUCAGCAACACUUUGCAAUUCUAAAAAAUAGAAUAAAUUGCAUGCCUCAGUCAAUAUUUACGAUUUCUUUCAAAACACAUAAAUAAUUCUUAUGACUAGUCAUGGUUGCCAAACUGCUCUUUCCUACCAAACCGUGGCCUUCUUUCCUGAACAAGCAACAAAGGGAAAUGUGGAGAUUCUCGUGGAGCCAAGAAGGAAGAACCCCUGCCACAAGCCCUGAUGUCCAGCCCAACGUUUCUGCCGAGCACCCCAAGGACAGUAUGUGAAAUGAACACAGCUACAGCUCACAGGGGAUUCGAAGCAACGGAAGAGAUGUCCUUUAUAAGGCCACACUUUUUUCCCCCCAUAAUCUAAAUAGAGACACCUGGAUUUUCCUGAAGCUUCAAAAAUGUGGUUUCAGGUGGCUCACUGGUAGGCUCCUUCAGGGUUGCUUAACAAACCCAUCAUGUCCUCGUGCUUUUCUGCCUGUCUCCCCUCUCAUGCUGCUUGUUCGUUCUGAGGGUGUUAGGCCAACGAAAAACACCCACCAGCCAGCAGACACCUUCAGGCCCGAGAGAGGGAGAGAGGGCAGGCAGCCCGUGAGAGCCCUUGGGUCCUUGCUAGGGUUGCAACUCCCUCCACUUCUCCUGGCCUCCAUCACUCAACGUGGAACAUGCUAACAAAUGGCCAGAUUUUUGGACACUGAAAUUUCACUGUACUUCUUUAUAAACAAACAUAAUUUCUGCAUAUUGUUUUUUAUGCAAAUGAAAGUGAUGCCAGUUUUUCUAAAGUACAAAAAGGUACUAUCAAUACUUGGAUAAAGCUGCUGACUUCCACGGAGACCUGAGUUUCUUUGAUUUUCAUCCCAAAUGGAUGCUCCCUAUUAUAUAUAAAAGUAUCUGCCAUAUAACAGAACUUAAUAAAAUUCUUAGGACAUACAA